UCUGGUGAUUAUGGCUUGAAGGUAACACCCGUUCCCAUACCGAACACGAUGGUUAAGCUUCAAAGCGCCGAUGGUACUGCACUGGAGACGGUGUG
Molecule: ribosomal RNA, 95 nt
Filed under: Clostridium botulinum
Lineage: Bacteria; Bacillati; Bacillota; Clostridia; Eubacteriales; Clostridiaceae
Source: RNAcentral